GGGGUUGUGGCUCAGUGGUAGCGCACUCAUCUGGCAUGUGUGAGACACUGGGUUCAAUUCUCAGCACCA
Molecule: non-coding RNA, 69 nt
Organism: Ictidomys tridecemlineatus (thirteen-lined ground squirrel)
Lineage: Eukaryota; Metazoa; Chordata; Mammalia; Rodentia; Sciuridae
Source: Rfam